RNAcentral lists this ribosomal RNA (429 nucleotides) under uncultured bacterium. RNAcentral describes it as "bacterial SSU rRNA". It matches the Rfam family "Bacterial small subunit ribosomal RNA", at positions 355 to 776 of the family's 1533-position model. The record is from RNAcentral. RNAcentral also lists the same sequence under 1 other name.
UGGGGAAUCUUGCGCAAUGCGCGAAAGCGUGACGCAGCAACACCGCGUGAGGGAAGACGGCCUUAGGGUUGUAAACCUCUUUCAGAUGGGACGAAGGUUGUCCGGUGAAUAGCCGAGAUGAUUGACGGUACCGUCAGAAGAAGCUCCGGCUAACUACGUGCCAGCAGCCGCGGUAAUACGUAGGGAGCGAGCGUUGUCCGGAAUCAUUGGGCGUAAAGAGCAUGUAGGUGGAUCAAUAAGUCUGCUGUGAAAGUCGAAGGCUCAACCUUCGAAAGCCGGUGGAUACUGUUGAUCUAGAGUACGGAAGAGGCGAGUGGAAUUCCUGGUGUAGCGGUGGAAUGCGCAGAUAUCAGGAGGAACACCAAUAGCGAAGGCAGCUCGCUGGGACGUAACUGACACUGAGAUGCGAAAGCGUGGGGAGCAAACAGG